CAGGGACAAGGGGCAGAGUUAACCUGAAAUUUCCCACCCAAACCCCCUGUCCCUCAGCCAUGGGGGAGCUCAAGAAAUUUCAGCAAUCCUGUUGCUGGUGGUGAGCUAGUGGUCUCCGUCUGAAACACCAGUAUGAACUGCAGCCAACAAGCAUCUGUCCAGUGAAGGACUGCUCCAAAACCUAGUAUGGUUGGUAUAAAAAGUCACCUGUGGGCUCCUGUUUGUGGAUGAGACCCUGCAUCAACAGAAAAUGAAGAUCUGUACAUCCACCCCACUGGUUUUCCAGCAUUUGAGGCGGUGACUACUUGCUUACUUUAUAUGCUUCAGCUAUUUGAACUCCCCCUCCUGUCCUCCAAGCUACUGACUCAUUUCCUCCUCUAAAACCUUCCUUUUUUAGUCUUUCGCUCUGAAGUAUUUGGUUGCUGUUUUGAGCUGCCUGCUCCAUGCCUUUCUUAGGCAAACUCCUACAUGACAGCCCUGCAAGUCUUGCUUUUGUACUGUGGAAAUGAGGAUUUCUCCCCCCAAUACUGUCAGUUCUGAGGGGCAGUUUUAGCUCUUGACCAUGCUCUUAGGCAAAUUGCUUCUUUGCUAUUGGAAAUCAGGGAGGCAGACAACCGGCAAAGCAGCUGGUAAGCUGAGAGAGCUGGUGCUUAUGCUAAUUGCUGUUGUCUCCCUGUUAGUCCCCGCUUCCCCCAUCUGUCUGCAUCCACCUGCUGUCUUUUCAUACCCUUUCACUCUCAUCUUGCAGUUGGAGCAGGGAUCACAGAGUAUCCUCUUUUGCUGGAUAACCACCCUGCAACCACAGAGCAGCUGGAUGGCAGGAUCAGGCCCUGAUUUUAUGUGCUGCCACAUGAAGCGAAGGAACAGGCAGUGUCCCCUUGUGAGAGGGAUAUGGUGCUGGCCCUGAGCUUUGGUCAUGGUGGAUGGAUGCUACCGUAAUCACACCAGAUGAAUGUGUCUGAAAGGUUGCAGUCCUUUUCAUUUCCAUACGGUACAAACUCUGCAGGCAAUGAACAACUGGACCAAAAUCUGACCCUGCUUGCUGCUGUAAAACCUGGCUAAUUUUAUAAGUCUCAUCCGAACCACUCUGGAUGGAGCUGAUGGAGAAGGCAGCCCUAUGCUUCGUUACCCCUGGGGCGUUUUCACCAUCAGAAGGAGGAAAUAAAACAAGAAGGCAGCUCAGGAAUGGAACAGCCCUGUUUUAAUUUAAAUAUGGAAGAAUGUCAUUGAGCUACUCUCUGCCUGGCUUGUAUAAUUUGUUUUCUCCUUAAUUUUUGUUACCACUAAGGUGCCUGUCCGAAGUACUCAAUAUCAUAAGAAUGAAACCUAUCCUGCCCCAGAAUCAGCUCAAGGAUCAACCACUGCUCAGCUCUUGUUAAAUCCUCAAAAUAGACA
Cuculus canorus (common cuckoo) is the source of this 1395-nucleotide long non-coding RNA. RefSeq lists it as uncharacterized. The transcript is spliced from 3 exons. The record is from RefSeq and is a predicted model, not a curated record. Lineage: Eukaryota; Metazoa; Chordata; Aves; Cuculiformes; Cuculidae.